Long non-coding RNA from Anopheles funestus (African malaria mosquito), 1584 nucleotides. RefSeq lists it as uncharacterized. The record is from RefSeq and is a predicted model, not a curated record. NCBI's taxonomy places the organism in Eukaryota, Metazoa, Arthropoda, Insecta, Diptera, Culicidae. The transcript is spliced from 3 exons.
UGUAUAUGUACAUUUAGAUAAAAGAAGAUAUCAAAGGAAGUACGGAAGAUAAACCAACCAGACUUGCAGCACACUUUCAAACGAAAUAAAACAAGCAACAUACCUAAUAGCGACAUUACCCCUACAUAAGCAUCAAAUGUACCGUGCACAAACGAUGAAUCCAUGCCGCAUACAUCCAACGCAAAUCCUGAAUUGGACAACGAAAGAAACCAGUUGAACAGAAGCAUUACAGACCAGGCACAUCAUGAACCCGUCGACAAGAAUAAAUAUUUAAAGGAACAACAGCUCAUAUCGUUAAUAGAGGUAUCGAAACCUAAAUCCACUAUACACGGCGAAUUUUAUAAUAUAUUUUUGGCCAUUACGAUUAUUCUUCACCAAUUUAACAAAUCAACUAAUUAUCGAUAUGAAACCAAAACGAUCAAAACGAACAAACAAAAGAUCGAUUUUAUAGUUGCAGUGGAAGUAGGAGAAGCAGGAAAAUUCGACGACAUCCUGUUUUAUUUCUCAUCACCAAAAGGACUUUUCACUUUCUGCAUACAAGCGAAACAUAAAUUGAGUGCUGGGAAAACAACAAACCGUUACUUUUUUAUUAAAAAAAGGAUCUAUGCGCCACUAGUGGGUAAUUUUCGAUUCCCAUGUAUUUCUCGUCAUAUCUUAAGAUUAAUCAGAAACUAACAAAAGGUGAACCCGAUAUCCAAAAUGAUGAAUGUAGAACACGGUAUGUCAUAUGUACUAAUGCUGAUCUUCAUACUGACGUCAAAAGCUACUUUACGAAAACCGAUCCGGAAGAAGAUGAGAGUUUACAAUUUUGUGAAACUAUAGAAGCAACAUGUUAUAAAUUGCACGGUGAAAUACCCGAUCUGGUUAAUCAACUACUAAGCACCUACUUUACCUCUUUAGCUUGUAAUUUGUCAACUGUUGAUCCAACUCUCUAUAAUAUCAAGUUUAUCGCGAUGGAAUUUUCGACCGAUUUCAAACGGUUGAUAGAUAGCAAUGUAGAAAACCUAGACAGUACAGUUUCAAGCGAUAAAAUAGUACUGGAUGAAUCGAAGACUUAUAUGCUCUCCAUGCAAAAACUGAUCGAAAUGCGCUUGUUUCAGGAAAAGUUUAACCAUCAAAAGAUUGUGUUAAUCCUUGAUGGAUUUGAUGAGAUAGCACCAUGGUACAAGGAUGUGGUCCUGAACUAUUUCGCUCGAUUCUCUCAUCUUGAAGGAAUAAGAUCUUUAUUCCUGUCUAGUCGAUCUUACGGGUUUAAAGAUGAUUUGAAAAAAGCCUUCGAACAAUGUCGAAUGUAUGGGUUAACACCAUUUUCAGAGAAAGGUAUCCUGAUUUCUAUUCACAAAUUUCUUAACAACAAUUUAGAUGGUUACGAGCUUUACGAAAAGAAUCAUCAAAUUGAUAUACUCAAGAAGUUGUUUCAAAUAUUCAAAUAUCUAUUGGAAGAUAUAAUAAUAAUUCCACAUGGUUCAGAUUAUCUUCGAAAUUAUCUUUGCACACACGAUAUCGAAUCGGAUGUUGGACGAAACAAAAUUUGACAUACUUCAUCUGGUUGAAGAGUUUGUAGGCAGAAAGAUGAAAAUGUUA